AAAGAUCUUGCCCGGAUUGAAGAUGUUGUCGGGAUCGAGAGAGCGUUUGAUCUGCCGCAUCAGAUCCAGCGCAUCACCGAGUUC
RNAcentral lists this small RNA (84 nucleotides) under Sinorhizobium meliloti 2011. RNAcentral's name for it is "putative ncRNA". The record is from RNAcentral. Lineage: Bacteria; Pseudomonadati; Pseudomonadota; Alphaproteobacteria; Hyphomicrobiales; Rhizobiaceae.